Molecule: non-coding RNA, 528 nt
Organism: Triplophysa rosa
Lineage: Eukaryota; Metazoa; Chordata; Actinopteri; Cypriniformes; Nemacheilidae
Source: the annotation of a RefSeq genome assembly
ACAACACAACACAAUCUUCAUCAACACACAAAACAACAAUGACUUUCAGCAUCAUCUUCAUCUGGACGCUCACAGUGUUUGCUCAAGAGUGUAGAGGACAGUACACUGUUACUCAGACUCCAUCAAUAACAGCAGUUCAACCAGGACAACAUGUUCAAAUAAAGUGUAAAGUCAGCAGUGCAGUAUACACAGAUAGCCAUGGUCCCCGAAUGAGCUGGUACUUACAGAAACCUGGAGAAGCUCCUAAACUCCUCAUAUAUCUCGCAACAAGCCGCCAGUCUGGAGUAUCAUCUAGAUUCAGUGGCAGUGGAUCAAACACAGAUUUUACUCUGAGCAUCAGUGGAGUUCAGACUGAAGAUGCAGGAGAUUAUUACUGUCAGAGUUUUCACAUUGAUUUUGUGUUGACACAGUGAUAAAGAGUCGUACAAAAACCUCCGUCAGUCAGACUGAACAGUGACUGCACUGACACACUUCACACAUACUGCAGCUGCUCAUACAACACAAACACACACAACACUGAUCACAAAU